AAGCUGAUCCAUUAUACCGCGUGUGUGAAGAAGGCCUGAGGGUUGUAAAGCACUUUCAAUAGGAAGGAAUACCUAUCGGUUAAUACCCGUGUAGACUGACAUUACCUAUACAAGAAGCACCGGCUAACUCCGUGCCAGCAGCCGCGGUAAUACGGAGGGUGCAAGCGUUAAUCGGAAUUACUGGGCGUAAAGCGUGCGUAGGCGGUUAUUUAAGUCAGAUGUGAAAGCCCUGGGCUUAACCUGGGAACUGCAUUUGAUACUGGAUGACUAGAGUUGAGUAGAGGAGAGUGGAAUUUCAGGUGUAGCGGUGAAAUGCGUAGAGAUCUGAAGGAACACCAGUGGCGAAGGCGGCUCUCUGGACUCAAACUGACGCUGAGGUACGAAAGCGUGGGUAGCAAACAGGAUUAGAUACCCUGGUAGUCCACGCCGUAAACGAUGUCAACUAACCGUUGGGUUCUUUAAGAACUUAGUGGUGGAGCUAACGUAUUAAGUUGACCGCCUGGGGAGUACGGCCGCAAGGCUAAAACUCAAAUGAAUUGACGGGGGCCCGCACAAGCGGUGGAGCAUGUGGUUUAAUUCGAUGCAACGCGAAGAACCUUAACUANCCUUGACAUGUAGCGAAUCCUUUAGAGAUAGAGGAGUGGCUUCGGGAACGCUA
RNAcentral lists this ribosomal RNA (658 nucleotides) under uncultured bacterium. RNAcentral describes it as "bacterial SSU rRNA". It matches the Rfam family "Bacterial small subunit ribosomal RNA", at positions 380 to 1031 of the family's 1533-position model. The record is from RNAcentral.